UAGAAAUGAAAGAGCCUUUGUGAAAGACUAUGGAGUGUGCUAUUGGCACAUACAUGAGGAUAAAAUUAUUGCAUAUUACAUAAAUAUAUCCAUGGUGUCAUUGGCUUUAAGCCCAAGAAGCUUAAAUCUAUACCAUCUGGAUGAGGAGCGCAAAUGUGCAGUGGCUGCAAUAGGAACAAACUACAGAAUUGGCCUCUUGGUUCUGAGGAUAUAAGUAAAGAAGCCAAGAAUCAGUAAAGUAAGGAAAGAAAAAAAUGUCCCAACAAACAAAUGAUGGCACAGAAAAAAAUUGCCGUUUUGUGCUAAAUAUUGCUAAGAUUUUACACACAAUGGAAAAAUAAUCUUUGUCUUUGUUUUUCUAAAGAGG
RNAcentral lists this long non-coding RNA (367 nucleotides) under Fukomys damarensis (Damara mole-rat). RNAcentral's name for it is "lncRNA (ENSFDAG00000024991.1)". The record is from RNAcentral. Lineage: Eukaryota; Metazoa; Chordata; Mammalia; Rodentia; Bathyergidae.